RNAcentral lists this ribosomal RNA (904 nucleotides) under uncultured Zetaproteobacteria bacterium. Its description in RNAcentral is "bacterial SSU rRNA". It matches the Rfam family "Bacterial small subunit ribosomal RNA", at positions 1 to 916 of the family's 1533-position model. Lineage: Bacteria; Pseudomonadati; Pseudomonadota; Candidatius Mariprofundia. The record is from RNAcentral.
GACAGCCAAAYGAMRRACGCKGGCGGCGUGCCUAACACAUGCAAGUCGAACGGUAACAGUCCUUCGGGAGCUGACGAGUGGCGCACGGGUGAGUAACGCGUGGAUAUCUGCCUAUUAGUGGGGGACAACUACAGGAAACUGUAGCUAAUACCGCAUAAUCUCUACGGAGGAAAGCAGGGGACCUUUCGGGGCCUUGCGGCUGAUAGAUGAGUCCGCGUCUGAUUAGCUAGUUGGUAAGGUAAUGGCUUACCAAGGCGAUGAUCAGUAACUGGUUUGAGAGGAUGAUCAGUCACACUGGAACUGAGACACGGUCCAGACUCCUACGGGAGGCAGCAGUGGGGAAUAUUGCACAAUGGGCGAAAGCCUGAUGCAGCGACGCCGCGUGCGGGAAGAAGGCCUUCGGGUUGUAAACCGCUUUCAAUUGGGAAGAAGAGAUGAGGGCUAAUAUCCCUCUGAUUUGACGGUACCUUUAGAAGAAGCACCGGCUAAUUUCGUGCCAGCAGCCGCGGUAAUACGAAAGGUGCAAGCGUUGUUCGGAUUUACUGGGCGUAAAGAGAUCGUAGGUGGUUUGUUAAGUCGGAUGUGAAAAUCCCGGGGCUCAACCCCGGAACUGCAUUCGAUACUGAUAGGCUAGAGUUUGGGAGGGGGUAAGCGGAAUUCCGUGUGUAGCAGUGAAAUGCGUAGAUAUACGGAGGAACACCUGAGGCGAAGGCGGCUUACUGGACCMAUACUGACACUGAGGAUCGAAAGCGUGGGUAGCAAACAGGAUUAGAUACCCUGGUAGUCCACGCCCUAAACGAUGUCAACUAGCCGUAGCGGGUAUCGACCCCUGCUGUGSCGAAGCUAACGCGAUAAGUUGACCGCCUGGGGAGUACGGUCGCAAGAUAACYAAAUGAUGCGUCGG